GAGGGGUAACGGCCUAUCAAGGCGACGACGGGUAGCCGGCCUGAGAGGGCGACCGGCCACACUGGGACUGAGACACGGCCCAGACUCCUACGGGAGGCAGCAGUGGGGAAUAUUGCGCAAUGGGGGAAACCCUGACGCAGCGACGCCGCGUGCGGGAUGAAGGCCUUCGGGUUGUAAACCGCUUUCACCAGGGACGAAGCGAGAGUGACGGUACCUGGGGAAGAAGCGCCGGCUAACUACGUGCCAGCAGCCGCGGUAAUACGUAGGGCGCAAGCGUUGUCCGGAAUUAUUGGGCGUAAAGAGCUCGUAGGCGGCCUGUCGCGUCUGCUGUGAAAUCCCAGGGCUUAACCCUGGGCCUGCAGUGGAUACGGGCUGGCUAGAGGCAGGCAGGGGAGAACGGAAUUCCCGGUGUAGCGGUGAAAUGCGCAGAUAUCGGGAGGAACACCGGUGGCGAAGGCGGUUCUCUGGGCCUGUUCUGACGCUGAGGAGCGAAAGCGUGGGGAGCAAACACGAUUAGAUACCCUGGUAGUCCACGCCGUAAACGUUGGGCGCUAGGUGUGGGUCCCUUCCACGGGGUCUGUGCUGCGGCUAGCGCAUUAAGCG
This 603-nucleotide ribosomal RNA is filed under the name uncultured bacterium. RNAcentral's name for it is "bacterial SSU rRNA". It matches the Rfam family "Bacterial small subunit ribosomal RNA", at positions 252 to 866 of the family's 1533-position model. The record is from RNAcentral.